GAUAAACGCUGGCGGCAUGCCUAAUACAUGCAAGUCGAACGGGAGUGCUUGCACUCCAGUGGCGAACGGGUGAGUAACACGUAUCUAAUCUACCUUUUAGUGGGGGAUAGCCUUUGGAAACGAAGGGUAAUACCGCGUAAGGUCUACAUUAUCGCAUGAGAAGUAGAAGAAAGUUCCGUUUGGAACGCUGAAAGAUGAGGAUGCGACGCAUUAGUUAGUAGGCGGGGUAAAGGCCCACCUAGACAAUGAUGCGUAGCCGAACUGAGAGGUUAAUCGGCCACAUUGGGACUGAGAUACGGCCCAGACUCCUACGGGAGGCAGCAGUAGGGAAUUUUUUCACAAUGGACGAAAGUCUGAUGAAGCAAUGCCGCGUGAGUGAUG
This 381-nucleotide ribosomal RNA is filed under the name uncultured Entomoplasmatales bacterium. Its description in RNAcentral is "bacterial SSU rRNA". It matches the Rfam family "Bacterial small subunit ribosomal RNA", at positions 28 to 410 of the family's 1533-position model. Lineage: Bacteria; Bacillati; Mycoplasmatota; Mollicutes; Entomoplasmatales. The record is from RNAcentral.